GCCGGGUGCAGUGGCUCACACCUGUAAUCCCAACAUUUGGGAGGCCGAGGCGGGUGCAUCACCUGAGGUCAGGAGUUCUAGACCAGCCUGGCCAACAUGGUGAAACCCUGUCUCUA
This 116-nucleotide non-coding RNA is filed under the name Pan troglodytes (chimpanzee). The record is from Rfam by way of RNAcentral. Lineage: Eukaryota; Metazoa; Chordata; Mammalia; Primates; Hominidae.